Molecule: long non-coding RNA, 1112 nt
Filed under: Homo sapiens (human)
Lineage: Eukaryota; Metazoa; Chordata; Mammalia; Primates; Hominidae
Description: long intergenic non-protein coding RNA 1630
Source: RNAcentral
AGGGUCGGGGAAGCUGUGAUGGCAAUGAGAAGUCAACACACUGAGGAUGGAGAGAAAGAAGAUGAGUCUGGGAGAGAAAGAGAAUGAUUCUUCUGGCCGAGGGAAAGCAAGAAUAUCUGUUCCUGCAACUGCACUGAUUCUAGAAACACUCUCUAUUCGAACUCUCAUGAGGGAUACAAUAGCUCUCCUUCCCUUCCACCAUGACUAAAAUCUUCCUGGGCCUCAGCAGAAGCCGAGCAGAUGUGGGUGUCGUGCUUGUACAGCCUGCAGAACUGUGAGCCAAAUAAACCUCUUUUCUUGAUAGAUUACCCAGCAUCAGGUAUUCCUUUUUAUCACAGUGUGAAUGGACUCACACAAUACAUACAAUGGAAUAUCAUUCAGCCUUAAAAAUUAGGAAAUUCUGACACAUGCUACAACAUAAAUGAACGUUGAGGACAUUAUGCUAAGUGAAACAAGCCAAUCACAAAAAGCAAAUAUUAUAUUUUUCCACUUAUAUGAGAUCCUUAGAGUAAUCAAAUUCAUAGAGACAGAAAGUAGACCAGUGGUUUCCAGGGGCUGGGAAAGUAGGGAGUUUUUGUUUUUGUUUUUUGAGAUGGAGUCCUGAUCUGUCGCCCAGGCUGGGGUGCAUUGGCAUGAUCUCGGCUCAAACUCCUGACCUCAAGUGAUCCACCCACCUCAGCCUCCCAAAGAGCUAGGAUUAUAAGUGUGAACCACCGCGUCCGGCCCAGGAGUUCUUGUUUAACAGGUAAAGAGUUGCAGUUGGGAUGACGAAAAAGUUCUGGAAAUAGACAGUGGUGAUGCUUGCACAACCUGUAAAUGUACUUAAUGCUGAAAUGUGGUACUUAAAAAUGGUUAAAAUUGUAAAUUUUAAGUUAUAUAUAUUUAGCACAAUAAAAUGUAAAAAAACUAUAAAGGAUGUACAUUAGGGGAAAAAAGGCAACCACAAAGUUUAGGGGCUGUGUAUCAGAGAUGAACACUGUCAUAUUACAGGGAGGCUUUGAGAGGCAGAAGUUCCUAGGUCAUUGAGAAUGAAUGCAAAUAGAGAUUGGAUAGAAAUUAAAACUGACAGUAUAAAAAUGUAGCUCAGAAAAAUUAAAAAAAAAGCUGAAAAA